GCAGUUGGUGACUGCUCGAAGGGGUGGGAGGAACAGUAUAAAGUCCUGUCCCCUUCCUGCCUUCAAGGGCACCCCUGAAGGACCAUAUCCACUGUGGACCCCCUUGGGAUCAGCCGAGCUUUUCACACUCUCUGUUGCCCUUGUCCUUGGGCAUCUCAGUGACUCGAAGGAAUUGGGUCUUGAGACACAGCCGAGCCUGUGAGCGCUGACCUGUGUAAAGAAGACACCAGAAUGAGAUGUCUCCACACACAGAGAGCUGCAGCCGAUGCCGGCCGGUGACUUGGGACUUGGAUGCUUAACAGGAGGCUCCCCCUCUCUUGGGAGGUAGAGAGCAGUGAGGAAGGGGACUCAGCCUCCAUGCCUCCCGCCAGCCCAGCUGCGCCCGAAUCACCUCCCUCCUGAAAGGAUGUCAGCCUCUGCUUGGACACCGUGGAGACAGGGCCCUCCUUGUGCUUCAGAAGCAUCAACGUGUCAGAAAAUCAUCUUCACGCCAAGUCUGGAAAAAAUGGCUUUGAGGUUGUGCACACAAAGGAAGGAGGGAGAGCCCCAGGUGUCGCGGAGGACCAUGCGGCUGACAGAGCCAGCAGGGCGGUGGCGUGUGAGCCGUGCUCUGGAUAUAUAAGGAUCUGACGCUGCUGGCAAUGUCUGAGCUCUAUGCUCGCCCAUCUGUCGGCUGCUAUCAUCACCGGGUGGGAUUAGCGGAGAUCCACUCUUUCAUAUUUAAAUCUUCACAAGAGAAUGAAUCACUUUUAUAAUAAAAGAAAAAGACCGUC
RNAcentral lists this long non-coding RNA (773 nucleotides) under Homo sapiens (human). RNAcentral describes it as "CCAT4". The record is from RNAcentral. Lineage: Eukaryota; Metazoa; Chordata; Mammalia; Primates; Hominidae.